This 494-nucleotide long non-coding RNA is filed under the name Anser brachyrhynchus (Pink-footed goose). RNAcentral's name for it is "lncRNA (ENSABRG00000017597.1)". Lineage: Eukaryota; Metazoa; Chordata; Aves; Anseriformes; Anatidae. The record is from RNAcentral.
UUCUUCUGUGACUCAAUCAACUUCCAGAAUUUAAAUUAUUCUUUAAAUUGUUAGCGUAACUGUGGCAAUAAUAGCAGCAGAGAUGAUAAUGAGUAAUGUGAUAUAAAAGGAUUCUAAUGCAUUCAGCAAAGCCAAACUCAGCAAGACCUGAACAAACCCCAGAGGACACGGAGAGAACCAACCUAUAAUAUAGGUCAAUGUUUUCAUAUGUGGUAAAGCAUCAUGGCAUGAAUGAUCCCUGCCCUGCCUCUGGAAACACUUUACUGAAGGAAGAAGUGAAGAGUGACAAUUAUGGCUGCACACAGUGUGAACGUGUUCUGUGACUGAAGGCAGUGUCAGACCUGGAGCACAAAGAAGGCUUGAGCUCCUCUCCCUCCACCCACACCAUGAGCGAUGUUGGUUAACGUCUGACACAGCCUAAGUGGCUGGAGCUCUCCCAGGGGACCGUGCUGUUGUCCUCACCAGCUCCUUCUGUAAUCCUGCUUCAGAGUUCG